CAAUAGCGUAUAUUAAAGUUGUUGCAGUUAGAAAGCUCGUAGUUGGAUUUCUGAUCGAGACAUCAGGUCGGGUCCGAGAGGAUCAUGUACUUUGAUUUUGUUUUGAUCAUCCUUGGGGAGAGCAUUUCUGGCAUUCAGUUGUCGGGAUUGGGAUCCUCAUCGUUUACUGUGAAAAAAUUAGAGUGUUCAAAGCAGGCCUCGGCCUCUGAAUACAUUAGCAUGGAAUAAUAAGAUAGGACUUUGGUGGUCUAUUUUGUUGGUUUGCACGCCAAAGUAAUGAUUAAUAGGGAUAGUUGGGGGUAUUCGUAUUCAAUUGUCAGAGGUGAAAUUCUUGGAUUUAUGGAAGACGAACUACUGCGAAAGCAUUUACCAAGGAUGUUUUCAUUAA
This 388-nucleotide ribosomal RNA is filed under the name uncultured eukaryote. Its description in RNAcentral is "partial 18S ribosomal RNA". It matches the Rfam family "Eukaryotic small subunit ribosomal RNA", at positions 592 to 976 of the family's 1831-position model. The record is from RNAcentral.